UUUUUUGGAAAAUAUAUCUCUUCUUCAGAUGAGAAGCAGAAAGCAAAUGAUGUCACCGCAGCCAACCUUGCAAUGAGGGCAAAGCAAAGAAAAACAGGCUGGUGUUUGCGUGAUAGGCGUUUUGAGGAGGAGGAGGAGGAGAUGAAAUCUGCCCCCUGGUCCGUGGCGUGCUGGGCUCAGGCAGCCCAGACUCAGCUCAGCCGCAGCUUAUGGAACCCCAAACUGGGGGACUGAAAGCCAGACAACAGAUAAAGGGAAAGCGAAUUCAGAAAAUGCAGCACCAGGCACCAGGAUAUAUCAGGAACUCCCUGCAGUGUCUCUCAUGUAAUGAAGAAUAUAGAAAUCUAAAAUGACAAUGAGAUGUAAUGCAGAUGCAAUUGACCCACUUCCCCUGUGUAAUUCAUUUGAAGUAAUCACCUAGUCAGGACACAUUUAACACUUGUUACUGUAUUUCUAACCUGCUGUUUAUGUCUGCUUAGUUUCUUAAAAGCUGACCGUAUAUCGAGAGGGCUGUUUAUCCAGUGGUAAUAAAACCUGGUCAGGAAAUUCUUUACCACAAGUUAUUGGCAGUGUCAGAUUUGGGGGUACCUGGAGAAACCUUGGGCUCGUUGCACAAUAGGUAGCAGUCUGCUGAAUCCAAUUCACUU
Long non-coding RNA from Acipenser ruthenus (sterlet), 647 nucleotides. RefSeq lists it as uncharacterized. Lineage: Eukaryota; Metazoa; Chordata; Actinopteri; Acipenseriformes; Acipenseridae. The transcript has 4 exons. The record is from RefSeq and is a predicted model, not a curated record.